Molecule: non-coding RNA, 4149 nt
Organism: Callithrix jacchus (white-tufted-ear marmoset)
Lineage: Eukaryota; Metazoa; Chordata; Mammalia; Primates; Cebidae
Source: RefSeq, a predicted model, not a curated record
UCGGCCUCCCAAAGUGCUGGGAUUCGAGGUGUGAGCCACCGCGUCCGGCCCGUGGAUGUUUUUUAAAAAGGCUGAGUGGCCUCACUUGGGACCGAAAAGGUGAAGUCCACGCCCCCUGGUGCAUCAGCGAAGACAAGCGGAGCCACCUGUCAGAGGGCUGUGGGCGGGGGCCGGGGCCGUGAGGGCCUUGGAGCCGGAGGGUGAGCGCCGUUGAGCGCACGCUCAGAGCAGACCGCUCGCAGGAGGCAGGAUGUGAUAGUCUUAAGACCCUGGAAGCUGACUGCCAGAGGGAGAGAAAGGUGGUCACAGAGGAGAGGCAAAGCAACCGGAGGUAGAGGAUCCUGGAGGUGAUUGCUAGGAGAGUACACAGCGGCGAGGGGCUGCAGAAGCGGACCCGGCGACUUCUGCGCCGACGCGGGGCGGGCGGGAGAGAGGAGGAGAGGGCAGCGCAGUGGCGCUGCGGGCUGGCCCAGUCGGGGAGGGGCUGCCAUGUCCCGUGAGCGACCCCCCAGCACUGACAUCCCCCGCAACCUGAGCUUUAUUGCCGCGCUAACGGAGCGCGCCUACUACCGUAGCCAGCGGCCCAGCCUCGAGGAGGAGUCGGAGGAGGAGCCAGGCGAGGGAGGGACGCGGUUCGGGGCCCGAUCCCGCGCUCACGCACCGAGUCGGGGCCGCCGGGCCCGCUCUGCACCAGCCGGAGGCGGCGGGGCUCGGGCGCCCCGCAGCCGCAGCCCAAACACCCGCAAGAGAGUGCGUUUCGCCGACGCACUGGGGUUGGAGCUGGCCGCCGUGCGCCGCUUCCGUCCCGGGGAGCUGCCCCGGGUGCCCCGCCACGUGCAGAUCCAACUGCAGAGGGACGCCCUCCGCCACUUCGCGCCCUGCCAGCCCCGCGCCCGCGGCCUCCAGGAGGCGCGCGCCGCCCUGGAGCCGGCCAGCGAGCCCGGCUUCGCCGCCCGCUUGCAGGCGCAGCGCAUCUGCCUGGAACGCGCCGAGGCGGGCCCGCUGGGCGUGGCCGGGAGCGCGCGCGUGCUGGACCUGGCCUACGAGAAGCGCGUGAGCGUGCGCUGGAGCGCCGACGGCUGGCGGAGCCAACGCGAGGCCCCCGCCGCCUACGCCGGCCCGGCCCCGCCCCCGCCGCGCGCCGACCGCUUCGCCUUCCGUCUGCCCGCGCCACCGAUUGGGGGCGCUCUGCUCUUCGCCUUGCGCUACCGUGUGACAGGUCACGAGUUCUGGGACAACAACGGCGGCCGUGACUAUGCUCUUCGAGGGCCCGAGCACCCUGGCAGUGGCGGAGCCCCGGAGCCCCAGGGCUGGAUCCACUUUAUCUGACACGAGGCACCUGCGGCCUACGGCGGAAAACCCCAAAGGCACCCGGGGGCGGGGGGAGGAAUAGGAGAGACUAGGAUUGGCGGGGAGGACGAGGAGGGUGGGGAAAUCAGGGGCGUGGGGAGGUUGGGGUGGGACGAAUCAACGAAGCUCCGGGAGGGAGAUCGGGUUGUUGAAAGCUGGUCGGAUGUGAGCAGAAGGAACCCAGGGUAUAGGAGGAAGUAGACCCUACACGGCACCGAAGGGAUUAGGCAAAAGGAAAAGAACGGGGAUGAUGGUGGCUUUCCCCUCAGUGAGUGGGCACUGGGAGAAGGGGAGGAGGUCCAUCAGGCCUAGGCAGUUGAAGAAGGUUAAGAACCUUUUGGGGAUGGAGGAGGUAUGAUGUAAAGUAGCCCACCCAGUCGAAGUCAUUUAGAUUGCUGGCACAUUCCCUCUUCUUACCCGCCUUUUCCACCUCAGGACCCCUUGUCCUGCCCAUCCUAGCUUUAACUCAGCCAUAAUUGCCUUACUUAAUCCCAGGAACCUGGCCAUUGCUCCUGGGUCUUUGGCAUUAUGACGGGAAUCCCUUGUCACCUCUGACAGUUCCUGGCUGCAGUGUCCGUGGACUGGCUGAGGAGUGAUGACAGGUAGCCGUCAGAGCUCCAGCCUCCAGGCAGCUUUAGGGAUUAAAAUGGAGGCCAACUCCAGAUCUGUUCUUAUAGCCAAAUACUGAGGUGCCUAAGGAGUUGGUACACUCAGGGGCUUCCAGGAAAAUGCCAGCCUUACUUUUCUGGGGAGCCUUUUAAUAACCUCCAAGCAUUUUAUGGACUGUUUGUCGAGGGACAGUGAAUCAGGAGAAUCACUAUUCCGAUUUCUUUUGCCUCUGAAGAGGAAGUCCCUGACUAGCUAUAUAACUUUGGGCAAGUUACUUCAUCUCUUUGUGCCCCAGUUUUUUCCUUGGGAAAUUGAAUUUAGGUUAGAUGAUCUUUGAAGGCCCCCUGUAUGCUAUGUUGUGAUCUGUACAUGGCAGAGAAUAGAUUAGACGCCCCAUUUUCCAACCUAGUGCUAUGGUUCAGAACACAGAGCACCCCAAGCGUUUGGUUGAAGUCGAGGAUGGGUCCUCUGGUUUUUGACACAGAUGUUUGAGAGUCCAGGAAGCAUCCCAUAACCAACCUGCAGCCUCACCUCACCCCAGCAUAUUCCAGAGCCCCUUCCAAACCACAGCUCAUCCUCUGCUCCAUUUUGCUCUGGCCCUCACAGACUUCUAGCCUCCAUGAUCUGAGACAACUAUGUUUAGGUACAUCUCUGUUGGUGAAAAUGAUGCUUGAGAACCCCAAAGAUUAAAGGAAAUAAUGUCAAGGUCUUUUGUGGGGAUAAAAGAUAAUGGGUAUAUGGAAUAGAAACAUUUCAAAUGAAUCAAAGCAUUUCAGUCAAUCCACUUGGUUGUUAAAAAAAAAAAAAGGCCAGGCACAGUGGCUCACACAUGUAAUCCCAGCACUUUGGGAGACUGAGGCGGGCAAAUCGCCCAAGGUUGGGAGUUCCAGACCAGCUUGACCAACAUGGAGAAACUCUGUCUCUAUUAAAAAUACAAAACAAUUAGCCAGGCACGGUGGCACAUGCCUGUAAUCCCAGCUACUUGGGAGGCUGAGGCAGGAGAAUCACUUGAACCCAGGAGGCAGAGGUUGCAGUGAGCCAAGAUUGCACCAUUGCACUCCAGACUGGGCAACAAAAGUGAAACUGUCUCAAAAAAAAAGCAUCAAAGCAACUUGAUAGUAAAUGGUACCAAAAGAUGGUCUGCUCCAUAACCAGAGCAAGUGCAGUGGGAAAGCUGGACUCUCAUACCCACUCACAUUCAUGCCUUAUACCUCUCCUCCUGGCUAACCUUAACAAGGGAGUGAUUCCUCUCCUCAUUGCUGUUUUUCCUUUUCUCUUACCCUAUUCCUAACCUCUUUGCUUUUCUCUUUCUUUCCUUGUCUCUCUCCCUUCUCAUCACUUUUUUUCUUUUAACAUAUAGGGCAUUUACCUUACUUUUGUCUAUUUCCAUUUGUUUCCGUCUUCAUUCUUGUUCAUCUCUGCUAUUCCUUCUCCCGCCAGAAGGGAUGGAAACCCUAUUUGCUUUUCUCCAAGACCGUGGUUGGUCUACUUUCCUCACUCAGGCUCCUUGACAGUCUUCUAGAAGAGAGAAGAAGGAAAAGAAGCAGUUCCUGAUGUUACAAAUGAACGAGGAUCUCCCAGUCUUAGCCUUUGAGAAAAGAUGGCUGAAAGAGAGGAGUCCCCAGGUCAUUCCUCAAACAAAUCUCCAUCUAAACAUCAUCUUUAUCUUGUGAAGAAAACAAGAAGAAUUUCAUGUACCAUGUGAAUCACCUUCAGUUCAAAGUUGCGCAAAAUGAAGAAACCACUGGAAGCCACCAAGCAAUGCACUGUUGAGUCAUCAAUUAGGAGCCCACAGGAGGAUAAUAGAGAGGGAGACUGGGUGGAGGCUCAGUGUGGAGUCAUCUCUUGUCUAAUGUAUGUGUGUCACUGCCAUGUUGUAUUAAUAAUGAGAGCUCACAUUUACUUAGCACUUCUGUGCCUAAAUCUGGGUUUUUCUUUCCAGAACAAUGACUUGAUCAUACAAUCUGUUUUGUUUGUAUGCAUGUCCAAAACCACCCUAUGAGUAGAAUAUUAUCAUUAUCUCUGAUUUAGAGAUGAGGAAAAAGGCUCAGGGAAGCUCAGUAAUUUGUUCAAGAUUGCACAGCUAGUUAAAUGGCAGAAGUAGGAUUGUGAACCCAGGAAAUCUCCAGAGCUUCUGUGUAACCAUGAUAUUAUAUAUUUUUCCUAUUUAAAAGCAAUAUUGAAAACCUU